AUGGUUGGGAUUUGGGUCAACAAUCAAGAUCUGGGUCAAGGGUGGGGAAUUUGGGGCCAAACCAGCCCAAGGUCGGGAGCAACAACCACAUUCACCAACUACCCCAUGAACUGGGUGCGCCAGAGCCCCGGGAAGGGGCUGGAAUGGCUCGCUGGGAUCAGCAAGGAUGGUGGUUCCAGCACCUUCUACGCGCCGUCGGUGCAGGGCCGGUUCAGCAUCAGCAGGGACAACGGGCAGAGCUCGGUGACGCUGCAGAUGAACAACCUCAGGGACGAGGAUUCCCCCACCUAUUUCUGCGCCAAGAGCGUCUAUUCCGGCUACAACCGGGGCGGUGCUGGGGGAGUCCAGAGCCCCCUGGACAAAUCUCGACCCUUGACCCCAAUUCUUGGCCAUUGA
Molecule: non-coding RNA, 396 nt
Organism: Myiozetetes cayanensis
Lineage: Eukaryota; Metazoa; Chordata; Aves; Passeriformes; Tyrannidae
Source: the annotation of a RefSeq genome assembly